Molecule: ribosomal RNA, 116 nt
Filed under: Escherichia coli
Lineage: Bacteria; Pseudomonadati; Pseudomonadota; Gammaproteobacteria; Enterobacterales; Enterobacteriaceae
Source: RNAcentral
UCUGGCGGCAGUAGCGCGGUGGUCCCACCUGCCCCCAUGCCGAACUCAGAAGUGAAACGCCGUAGCGCCGAUGGUAGUGUGGGGUCUCCCCAUGCGAGAGUAGGGAACUGCCAGAC